Molecule: ribosomal RNA, 430 nt
Filed under: Acidobacteriota bacterium
Lineage: Bacteria; Pseudomonadati; Acidobacteriota
Description: Acidobacteria bacterium partial 16S ribosomal RNA
Rfam family: Bacterial small subunit ribosomal RNA
Source: RNAcentral
UGGGGAGUAUUGGACAAUGGGCGAAAGCCUGAUCCAGCCAUGCCGCGUGUGUGAAGAAGGCCUUUUGGUUGUAAAGCACUUUAAGCGAGGAGGAGGCUACUUAGAUUAAUACUCUAGGAUAGUGGACGUUACUCGCAGAAUAAGCACCGGCUAACUCUGUGCCAGCAGCCGCGGUAAUACAGAGGGUGCGAGCGUUAAUCGGAUUUACUGGGCGUAAAGCGUGCGUAGGCGGCUUUUUAAGUCGGAUGUGAAAUCCCUGAGCUUAACUUAGGAAUUGCAUUCGAUACUGGGAAGCUAGAGUAUGGGAGAGGAUGGUAGAAUUCCAGGUGUAGCGGUGAAAUGCGUAGAGAUCUGGAGGAAUACCGAUGGCGAAGGCAGCCAUCUGGCCUAAUACUGACGCUGAGGUACGAAAGCAUGGGGAGCAAACAGG